This 253-nucleotide ribosomal RNA is filed under the name uncultured bacterium. RNAcentral describes it as "partial 16S ribosomal RNA". It matches the Rfam family "Bacterial small subunit ribosomal RNA", at positions 524 to 776 of the family's 1533-position model. The record is from RNAcentral.
UACGUAGGGCGCGAGCGUUGUCCGGAAUCAUUGGGCGUAAAGAGCUCGUAGGCGGCCGGUUGCGUCUGCUGUGAAAUCCCGGGGCUUAACCCCGGGCGUGCAGUGGAUACGGGCUGGCUGGAGGCAGGCAGGGGAGAAUGGAAUUCCCGGUGUAGCGGUGAAAUGCGCAGAUAUCGGGAGGAACACCGGUGGCGAAGGCGGUUCUCUGGGACGGUACUGACGCUGAGAAGCGAAAGCAUGGGGAGCGAACAGG